UCCCUGGUGGCCCAGAGGUUAAGGACUCAGCAUUGUCACUGCUGUGGCCAGAGUUCAAUCCCUGACCUGGGAA
This 73-nucleotide transfer RNA is filed under the name Sus scrofa (pig). It matches the Rfam family "tRNA". From Rfam's summary of the family: Transfer RNA (tRNA) molecules are approximately 80 nucleotides in length. Their secondary structure includes four short double-helical elements and three loops (D, anti-codon, and T loops). Lineage: Eukaryota; Metazoa; Chordata; Mammalia; Artiodactyla; Suidae. The record is from Rfam by way of RNAcentral.